GACGAACGCUGGCGGCGUGCUUAACACAUGCAAGUCGAGCGGUAAGGCCCUUUCGGGGGUACACGAGCGGCGAACGGGUGAGUAACACGUGGGUGACCCGCCCUCAGCUCUGGGAUAAGCCUGGGAAACCGGGUCUAAUACCGGAUAUGACUCCAUGACGCAUGUUGUGGGGUGGAAAGCCUUGUGCGGCUGAGGAUGGGCCCGCGGCCUAUCAGCUUGUUGGUGGGGUGANGGCCUACCAAGGCGACGACGGGUAGCCGGCCUGAGAGGGCGACCGGCCACACUGGGACUGAGACACGGCCCAGACUCCUACGGGAGGCAGCAGUGGGGAAUCUUGCGCAAUGGGCGAAAGCCUGACGCAGCGACGCCGCGUGAGGGAUGACGGCC
Molecule: ribosomal RNA, 387 nt
Filed under: uncultured bacterium
Lineage: Bacteria
Description: bacterial SSU rRNA
Rfam family: Bacterial small subunit ribosomal RNA
Source: RNAcentral